CUCCCUUCCUGCUACGGACAUCCACCAUGGCACCACGGCAAGAGCCCUGCAACGAGCAUCCAUAUCCUUCCUGCUUCAGAGAACGGCCGUGCGCGGUGUCGUCGGAUGUGGGGGUGGUGUGGCCCCUGAGGGUGUUGACCCGUGCGUCGUCGGAGGCGCCGUGCCGACGGGCUUCCAUGGGUGACCACGGCGAUGAGAUGCAACCCACGAUGAGCGGGCGACAAUGUUGGAACCAUCAAUUUUUUUUGCUGAAACCGAAGAAGGCAAAGUUGGAACCAUAGUUGAUUUUUACUACAACCAAAAUCAAAGGGGAACGUGCUGCUGUAUUUUGCUGCAACCGGCAACUCAGAUGCUGAACCGACCAGCUCCAGUGCUGCAACCGGCGAGAGCGACAACAUCCACCGGUGACGGCCGUGUUGCCAUGGCGGCGGUGCCUGCCUUCUUUUGCUGCAACUGACCAGCCCAGGUGCUGGAACCGACGUGCGGAUUUGCUACCAUGCCCGGCAUCUGAAAAAGCUUCAACCGGUGGACGGCAAACCAACGAUGGCGAGCAGCGACGACCGAAGCUGCGAACAGGCCGGAGAUGGGGAUGACGAACGAGCGAAGCUGGAACCGUGGCUUGUUGGAGCUGCAUACUUGGGUGUCUGGGGGACAGUUUUGCUUCAACCUGGGCUGGAGAAAGCUGCAUCCACCUAUGUCCCAGCACGGCGAGCGGCGGCGAACGGCAGCGAGUCGAGGCGCGGUGGUGCUUCGUGGGCGCAGGGGUGUGGAGCUACAUGCGCGCGCGGGCGUAUCUGUUUUUCCUCGUCGCUCGUGGCCAUGAACUACGAGAGAAACAAGGGCGUGAGAGAGAUGACCGAGUCCUCGCGUAAUCCUGUGCGUCGGGGCCAACUGAUCGAACGGAUGCAGG
Molecule: ribosomal RNA, 910 nt
Filed under: Triticum aestivum (bread wheat)
Lineage: Eukaryota; Viridiplantae; Streptophyta; Magnoliopsida; Poales; Poaceae
Description: partial small subunit ribosomal RNA
Source: RNAcentral